Molecule: ribosomal RNA, 453 nt
Filed under: uncultured bacterium
Lineage: Bacteria
Description: bacterial SSU rRNA
Rfam family: Bacterial small subunit ribosomal RNA
Source: RNAcentral
UACGGAAGGCAGCAGUGGGGAAUAUUGCACAAUGGGCGCAAGCCUGAUGCAGCCAUGCCGCGUGUAUGAAGAAGGCCUUCGGGUUGUAAAGUACUUUCAGUCGUGAAGGAAGGUGUUAAGGUUAAUAACCUUAGCAAUUGACGUUAGCGACAGAAGAAGCACCGGCUAACUCCGUGCCAGCAGCCGCGGUAAUACGGAGGGUGCGAGCGUUAAUCGGAAUUACUGGGCGUAAAGGGCACGCAGGCGGUUAAUUAAGUUGGAUGUGAAAUCCCCGGGCUUAACCUGGGAAUGGCAUUCAAGACUGGUUAGCUAGAGUCUUGUAGAGGGGGUAGAAUUCCAUGUGUAGCGGUGAAAUGCGUAGAGAUGUGGAGGAAUACCGGUGGCGAAGGCGGCCCCUGGACAAAGACUGACGCUCAUGUGCGAAAGCGUGGGGAGCAAACAGGAUUAGAUACC